ACAUUAGUGAAUUGGUCAUCACGUCAGUCUGUCACACUGAAGGCCGCGAGUUCGAUCCUCGCAUGUA
This 67-nucleotide transfer RNA is filed under the name Nannocystis pusilla. RNAcentral's name for it is "tRNA-Asp". It matches the Rfam family "tRNA". Rfam says of the family: Transfer RNA (tRNA) molecules are approximately 80 nucleotides in length. Their secondary structure includes four short double-helical elements and three loops (D, anti-codon, and T loops). Further hydrogen bonds mediate the characteristic L-shaped molecular structure. tRNAs have two regions of fundamental functional importance: the anti-codon, which is responsible for specific mRNA codon recognition, and the 3' end, to which the tRNAs corresponding amino acid is attached (by aminoacyl-tRNA synthetases). tRNAs cope with the degeneracy of the genetic code in two manners: having more than one tRNA (with a specific anti-codon) for a particular amino acid; and 'wobble' base-pairing, i.e. permitting non-standard base-pairing at the 3rd anti-codon position. The record is from RNAcentral. Lineage: Bacteria; Pseudomonadati; Myxococcota; Nannocystales; Nannocystaceae.